AACGAACGCUGGCGGCAGGCCUAACACAUGCAAGUCGAACGCUCGUAGCAAUACGGGAGUGGCAGACGGGUGCGUAACGCGUGGGAACAUACCCUUUGGUUCGGAAUAACUCAGGGAAACUUGAGCUAAUACCGGAUACGCCCGAGAGGGAAGAUUAUUGCCGAAGGAUUGGCCCGCGUCUGAUUAGCUUGUUGGUAGGGUAACGGCCUACCAAGGCGACGAUCAGUAGCUGGUCUGAGAGGAUGAUCAGCCACACUGGGACUGAGACACGGCCCAGACUCCUACGGGAGGCAGCAGUGGGGAAUAUUGGACAAUGGGCGCAAGCCUGAUCCAGCC
This 336-nucleotide ribosomal RNA is filed under the name uncultured bacterium. RNAcentral describes it as "bacterial SSU rRNA". It matches the Rfam family "Bacterial small subunit ribosomal RNA", at positions 29 to 393 of the family's 1533-position model. The record is from RNAcentral.